Erwinia sp. is the source of this 116-nucleotide ribosomal RNA. The record is from Rfam. NCBI's taxonomy places the organism in Bacteria, Pseudomonadati, Pseudomonadota, Gammaproteobacteria, Enterobacterales, Erwiniaceae.
CCUGGCGGCUGUAGCGCGGUGGUCCCACCUGACCCCAUGCCGAACUCAGAAGUGAAACGCCGUAGCGCCGAUGGUAGUGUGGGGUCUCCCCAUGUGAGAGUAGGGAACUGCCAGGC